UCGGAACGUACCGAGUAAUGGGGGAUAACGCAGCGAAAGCUGUGCUAAUACCGCAUACGCCCUGAGGGGGAAAGUGGGGGCUUCGCAAGAACCUCACGUUAUUCGAGCGGCCGACGUCUGAUAAGCUAGUUGGUGGGGUAAAGGCCUACCAAGGCGACGAUCAGUAGCGGGUCUGAGAGGAUGAUCCGCCACACUGGAACUGAGACACGGUCCAGACUCCUACGGGAGGCAGCAGUGGGGAAUUUUGGACAAUGGGGGAAACCCUGAUCCAGCCAUUCCGCGUGAGUGAAGAAGGCCUUCGGGUUGUAAAGCUCUUUCAGCUGGAAAGAAACGGUACGCACUAACAUUGUGUGCUAAUGACGGUACCAGCAGAAGAAGCACCGGCUAACUACGUGCCAGCAGCCGCGGUAAUACGUAGGGUGCGAGCGUUAAUCGGAAUUACUGGGCGUAAAGCGUGCGCAGGCGGAUUGUUAAGCAAGAUGUGAGAUCCCCGGGCUUAACCUGGGAAUGGCAUUUUGAACUGGCAGUCUAGAGUGUGUCAGAGGGGGGUGGAAUUCCACGUGUAGCAGUGAAAUGCGUAGAUAUGUGGAGGAACACCAAUGGCGAAGGCAGCCCCCUGGGAUAACACUGACGCUCAUGUACGAAAGCGUGGGUAGCAAACAGGAUUAGAUACCCUGGUAGUCCACGCCCUAAACGAUGUCAACUGGUUGUUGGGGGAGUGAAAUCCCU
Molecule: ribosomal RNA, 729 nt
Filed under: uncultured Pseudomonadota bacterium
Lineage: Bacteria; Pseudomonadati; Pseudomonadota
Description: bacterial SSU rRNA
Rfam family: Bacterial small subunit ribosomal RNA
Source: RNAcentral